ACGAAUUAAGUGUGAAGUGGGCGUGAAAGCCUGUGGUAUGAUGGUCGUGUGGUUUCGUUUUUAUGUUUAGCAGUACGCUAGCCGAGUCAAUCCAAGCUCGAUUGCCUAAAAGGUCACGUGGGUUUUGUUUUAUUUGCUUCCUCCAUAUGAUCGCCCACGAUUGAGUCGGACGUAUGUCAGUGCGGCAUAGUGGAACACUUGCGACAAGCGCAGCAUAAUUUGUGCCAGUGACGGGGUAUUGUGCACCGGUCACGUAGGAAGUCACGAUGCACCCGACGACGCUCGCCUGAGGAGGGCACCGCUGCGUCAAGUCUACACCGCGGGUGAAGCGACAGCACAGGUAACCUAAUAAGAUGGAGGCCAUGCAGGACUGCAACUUGGAUCAUCUGCUGCCGCCUGAGGUUUGGAUGCGAAUACUGAGGUUCGUCGACCCGGAAGACAUUCUGGCUAUCGCGGACGUGUCGCCCCUUUUGGCGAGUUUUACGAGCGACCGCUCGGUCGUGGGCACAGUCCGUUUCUCGGCGGAAACUCUUUCGGAGGACACGCUGAGCCGCUUCCUGCGGGCACCUCGCGCCGCGGCCAUUUCCAACCUGGAUCUCACGAACUGCGUUCUGCCGCCGUCGACCAUCGUCGAGCAGGGACUGGCACGCUGCGUCAACCUCACAACUCUUCGUUGCGUCAACUGUCGCCUGAGCAGUCGUGCGCUGUUCCAGCUCGUGCUGACCAGGCUGGACAAACUGGAGCUUCUCCACUGGUCGCUGCUGGGCUGCCGCGAGGGCCGCGAUGAGAUGAGGCCUGCCCUGAUGGUGCUCGACUCCAAGAACAGCCGGGGCACGUCGGGCAUCCGUUCCAUGUACGUCGAGCUGGUCGAGAGCGCCGUCCACGUGCACACGCUGGCCCGGUUCCUGCCGCGCUGUCCGCGCCUGCGGGACCUGCACGUGCACGUGCUGGGAGCGAGCAGCUGCGAGGGCUGCUCGCCCGGCGCCCCGACGACGUACGGCGACCGCCCUCUGGCCGAGCUCGAGCGUUUCACGUACACGACGGACGCGGCGAGAGGCCGCUGCCCGUACGCAUCGCGCUCGGCGUUCAUCGAGUCCCGCGAGCUGUGGCACCUUCUGCUGGGUGACGACGAACCGCUCGUGCAGGCGUUCCGGGGCUACGCGACGCUGUGCAACAACGUCGCGCUGCGCCUGCGUCCGCACAAGUCGCGCAGCUGCGUCCACCUCUCUGAGCUGCUGGUGCCCGCGAGCGACGAGGCCUCGAUGCCCCAGAUGUGCGUCACCGUCGACGAGCCGGGCCAGCUGUCGGCGGCCGCGACGGCUCGGGGCGACCGCUGGUCGUCGCUAGACGCCCUGACGCUCCUGUCGCCGCUGCCGCUGAACCGGCCCACGUUCCCUCCCGGCGUGGGGGCCCUGUACGAGGCCCCGCUCAAGACCCUGCUGGGGGCCUGCUCGGCGCUGGGCGAGCUCAACCUCAGCCGCUUCCACUUCACGCCGGACCUGUCGUGCUGCGCCCUGCUGGCCUCGGCGUGUCUGCGUCACCUGAGGGCACUGUCGCUGCCGGCGUGCGCCCUGGCCGAGCCCAACUCGAUCGAGGACCUGGCCCGCGCUCCUUUCACCCUGCAGGAGCUGGACGUCCGCGGCAGCGCCACCACCGCGCACAGCGUGUGCGCCGUGUGCAGCGACCCGCGCACGUGCGGCGACGCGUCGCUCGCGCCGCUGGCGCUGCUGGGACCGCUGCGCCGGCUGACGCUGUGCGGCCUCAGCAACGUGCACAGCGUGCAGUUCCUGGCCGGCUGUCGGGUGCGCGAGCUGCGGCUGUCCCACCUGGGACGCAGGGGCCUGUGCUGCUACACCCAGGGGCUGGGCACCGUGCUGGCAGCCCAGGCGGACGGCCUCCGCGUUCUCAAGAUGGAGCACUCAGCGCUAACGCUCAGCUCGCACCUUCUGCUGGACCAGAUCACCAAGGCCUCGUCCCUGGAGCUUCUGUGCCUCACUUCAAACACUCCGUUGCGGCCUGCGGAACAGCAGCAUUUACUCGACAUGCUCGUGCCGCGGCUCCGACAGCUGCGUGCACUGCAUGUUCAUGCCCCGGGUGUGCGGCCUCUUCCGCGCCGUCUGCAGGGCCAGCCACGGAUCCACUUUGAUGGCAGCAAUGGCGACGACGCCAACCCCACCAUCGUCUUCACAAAUGAGCUCAGCAUCCUCUGCCGCGCAUCCAAUUUCAUUGGUCUCACCAAGCCGUACAACAGGGACCCCCAGCCCGUGCCAAUGGAAGCCGUCAAGGGCUGAAAGGUUUGAUGUGAGCUUAGCCACACCCUUCACCGGAGGGGAAAGACAGGUUGGGUUUGUUGCCAGCUGGUCUCGAAUGAGACUGCGGCAACAGCAUUAACUAGGGGCAUGUUCUUGCUGGUCUGCUACUCAGGCAUGUUACAUGUUAUUGCGAAAGGCAGGUGCACUGAUGGUGAAGAGCUGUUCCUUCAUUGUUGCCUUAUGUGGCUUUGGUGAGAGAAGUACCGUGUGUAACAUUAACCGCUCCUUUUGUUUACCGUAGCAUGGUUUCUCUUGGUGGCUGUAAAGCAUCACGCUAGCAUAGACAAUGAAGGAUUUGAUGCUAAAGGACGUGGAAGUGGGCUUCCUCGGGGACCUUUUUUUGUGGUUACGAUCCUGAAAAAAAGAAGGGGAAGGGGUUGGAAGAGAAAGAGAGGAGAAAUAAUGACUCAGCCUUGUUGCAACGUGAACAUAAAAUACCAGCCUUGUCACCUCUCCUUGUUGCAUGUCUCGUGGUUCAACGUGUGCAAAGUGAAUCCCUAGUCUUUUGCUGCUGUGACCUUGCAGUUCUAGCGUUGUGAAUAGAAAUGAGAAGGUGGCGAAUGAUAUAGCCCUCCUUGUUACACUGCUAUGGUCACGGCAAGCACAAAUUGCCUCAAAGGCGCCUCGCAAUACCUUUCAGUCUGAACAGAACAGGUCCUUGCCUGCUAGCUUCUUUGUUUUCCCACAUUGGCCUAGUUUUGUGGACUGCGGAAGAGAUGAGCGUCGUGCGCAGAUCAAGUUUCUCUGCAAUCAUUUCACAUAAUCAGUUGGAAGAGAAAGAAUGCUGCACAGACACAGCCUUCUGUUCAGGACAACGCGGCGUUCACAGAAAGAUGGAGGCUUGAAGUGGUGAACAGAGUUUGAACAAAAGAGGAGUCAGACUGGAACCGAUGUUUCACCAAGGGGACUUGUCUAGACAAGUUUCUUUGUUGAAUCACUGGCUUUAGAGACAUUCCUUGCUUGACCACCAUUGAUUAUUUUUGUCUUCCGUUCAUUGCAGACCUCUGCAGUUGUCUUUGGCAGCCACGUCGCGCCAGCUUUGGACAACUUUUUUCAGUGUAGCCAGCAGGCAGCUAGGUCUCAAAUAUGCCAGCACUCUUCAGGCUGACAGCAUUGAUACAGUGCAGAAAACAGAGAUGAUGAAGGAAAAAAAAUGACAUGGACGCCUUGUGUGUGUUAUCUGCUAUAAAUAUUGAAAUGCUCGUUGGAAUCAGUAUUGGAGCAUAGGCCCUCCUUGCCACAUCAUGGGAGAACAUUAGUGGUGGAAACAUGGCCUCAUUUGCCUCGUUAUUGUGAUGUGAUUGACACAUCAGCAGUAGUAGAUGUGCUUGAUGAAAGGUUGGUGCAGUAGUGAGCGGAAAAUCAUUUAGAACUUUGGCUUGUGCAGUAUUUGCUGAAUCUUUUUUUUUUUCCUGACUUGUUGUCAGCAGUGUUAAAUGCUGUCUCCUUCGCUGCCUUGUAGCAGCAGGCGUGGAAGAUACGUGCAAAGUGCUUUCAAUGACGGCGAGGUCUCGCAACUUGCUCAGUUACAGGCCUGCAAGUGAACCCAUUGCAACUUGCAUCGCAUGUCGCAGUCGCGAACAUUUGGCGUGUGCUUUGUGCUGAGUUGACUGUAGAUGUGAACUGCAGUCGUGACCACUCUUGAACACUGGCAAUCUUUCACACACGUCGACUGUUGGUGUUUCGUAAGUUAGCCUUAAUAGCUGCACAGAAAACUCUGCCAUAAUAGCCUGGGCCAUAUAACUGUGUGGAAGCGGCUUUGCAAAAAUGUCAGGCGCACCUCCCAUAAGCACUUAUAUUUUUGUGUCAUGUAUUUUUAUAGUGCAUUGAAGCAUUGCACUGGCCCUUACGUCAUGCAAAUGUGAAAGUAUUCCCGAAAGUGAUUGACUGGGAAUACAGCCCCAUGUGAUAUUAUUAGGACACGGUCCGUCACUCUUUCAGCCACAUGAACCAUGAAGACGGCUGAGCACUUGAACUUGCCUUGGCUACGCUGUCGAACAGCCCCGCUGCGAUGCUGGCAGAGUACUAAAGACAGCGGCUGCAUUUAGUACUAUGCAUGAAGCAUAAGAUGUACUGUCCUACUCUACCUAAAGCAAGCAAGCUGUAAUUAAAGGACUCUCUAAUAGCCAGUGCACAACUGCUUGUGCUUAAAAGCAUCAAAUACAGUGAAAUCCACUUACAUUAUAAUGAGUGCAAUAGUUCUGUGGAAAGCAGUCACGGUAGCUUUGUUAUAUCUGGGUCAGCUGUGGUGUAACUCGUAUACAGUCUGUAUACACUGAUAUAUUGUCAUACGUGAGGUCACUUGUAAGUUGGUUCAACUGUAUGCCAGAAAUUAGCGGGGAAAGGCAUUCCUACAACGUUUCUUUGUGUGGUUUGGCAUAUCACAGCCUAUUCUAGCUCUGUAAAACACAAUGUGCAUUCUGGUUGCUGCUGUGGCAUGCUAGUAUACUAGCACUAGUAUACUGAUCAUACUAGUAGUAAUGAGCUAGUUAAAAGGGAGGAGGGGGAUAUUUUCCUUCUAAGGUUUCUUACGUGUUUGACCUUCGACUGGACUCUGCUGACAGGCAUAUUGGCGUGAGGCAGUAGCAGCCAGGCUGUGUUAAUGUCAGCUCAGUUAUUCCCACAUCUUAGUUCAGUGAUUUCGCUGGCCUUGUAGUUAUUAGAAGCAGUGGGGAAAGAUAUGUGCAGACCGAAAUUUGAGUACAGGUGUCUAUACAGGUUGCUGCUGUCUGUUGGCAUUCCAGCAAAAAAAAAAAAAAAAACCUAAUAUUUCUUGUAGGGUACCAGUAACACUGUUACUGAAUAAGGUGUGUUGUGUUUUUUUCAGUAGUGCGCUUUCACAUUGGGUAUUAGAAGCUUCCUUAGCAGGCACUAACCUUAACAAUCUCCUUAUGGCUCUAAUAACCUCAGGUUCUAUUUUUCAUUGUUUUUGUUUUGUGGUGAAGCAAGGAUCUUCUGCUUAAAUUGAAGGCUUGCUUUAAUGCUGGUGUACAGUGUAAUUGUGUUGCAUCAAUUUUGGCUGAGGAAAAAAAAGAGACAGUGGGCACAACGUAUUUUAAGGACAGAAUUUGGUCAGACUUUGAGAUUGUCCUCCCUGAAAGCCCCUGCGCUGUAUACUGACAUACUGCGAAUUAUUACUUGGUUGUAUGCAAUCCUUUAUGGCAUCACUAUACACAUAUGAAAAGUCUGCAGUCCUAACCACACACAAACAUCCGUCAUUGCCAGAAUUGGGUGGCUAGAAAUUCCAUUGAUCCUGCAUUAAAUGAUGCAGCCUGCAGGAUGUCAUGCUUCUAGGCUUAGCUAGUGGUAUAGUAACUGCACCAAAAUUGGCUACUUUAGUUUUGGCAAGCCAAUACAAGCUAAAGCUAUGUGUCCGAUGAAUGGAGCUUUGGUUGGAUCACUGUCUGUGAAUGUGCUAGAAGUUGGCAAUGUGUCUUAUAUAAACUUCGUCAGUUUCACUCGUUGCUUGGGGCAAGCAGUGUUUCACCCAAUGCUGAAGUCUGGUGUGGAUCUCUGACCAGUUACUUGAGUGUGGGUUGGAAGCAAAACAGAGUUGCACUAGUUUUGUGUUCAUUUCACACUUGAACAGCGAAAAAAACUCUAGAACAAGCACGAAAAGAAAAGAACAGCGUUGUCUCAUCAGUUCUGCUGUUUUUGUACUUGUUUGAGCCAUUGCUGUUUUCCUAUAACUGAGACAGAAGGCACAGCUGUCUAAAUUUCUUUCUUCAUUCGGUCUUUAUGUCGAUGUCUUCUCUCAAUAUUGCUUUUUCUGACUCGUAGCCAACACAUGAAGGGUCUGUGCCCCUGAGCAUCAUCUAGGUUCUUUGUUCGUGGGAUGUUAGUCAUCUAAGGGUGGAGGGACUUUCUCGUUCAUUGAAUAGCACAAAGUGGUGACGAUAUCUACCUAUUUGGUAGUCUUAUUUAACAAGGAAGGCAUGAGGUGAGACUUUCUUUUAACCAAUAAGAGUGAAAGGCUGAGCUGUUUGGUUUUGACGAAGGCUAAACUUUGCUCUAGCACUAAAGGGCCCCUCACCAGGCCCCAUAGCAAAUUUUGGUUAUCCACUAGAACUUGUAAAACGGUAAAAUGGAUGUUCUAGUGAAAUAACUUCUUUUAGUCCGUUCAUUAUUGUAGGAGGUAGAAGAAAUUAACUGUCCUGUUACCAUGCUGUCGCCAGGAGGUGAGUGUCACGGCCAACCAGUACACUCUCUCCCUCUGCCUCGAGUAGCUCCGGCAAGCGACAUUCUUUCCCUGCAUUCUCCCAUAUCAGAGGCGAGGGACUGCCUCACGUUUGUGCAUCAAGCCCCGCCUCCUUUCUUUUUCUUUCUUUUAUUCCUUUUUUUUUUUUGCUGCACAGCAAAUUCAAAGUGACGCCAUUGCACCUUCCUCAUUGAAUGAUUAACCGAAGUCACGUGCCACGGUGAGUGAUGUAGCUAGUACUGCAUUUGACGUUCGCGCAUUUGCACGUGUGACCUCGACUCUGGCUGAUGGUGGAGCUUCCUUGAAAGGGAGGGUGUGCAGCAUCUAGUUUGAAAUUUCAGCUGUUUUCAUGCCAUACAAUGCUGUAAUGCUUUGCAGACACGAUUAGCAGUGCGUGACGUCCACGCUACACCUGUCUGUUUAAAAUGGCCAAACCUUGUGAGGGGCCCUUCAAAAGGCAUGGAAAGACAAGACGCGGGAGAUUUUCAACGGCUGGUUUCAGCAGGUUUCUAAGCCAUCAUUUGAGAGCAUAGCAUAGGUCCUGUCGUCCACUAUUUGCUCAUCUGCUAGCACGGUAUCGGCAGACCACUGGCAAGACAAGGGAUCCAAAUGCCUUGUACAUAAACCUGCUUCUUCUGUCAUCAUUGUGAAGGAUCGCAGCUUGGCACAUAAAAGGAAGAAAGAGAAAUGAGUACUAACUUGAACUGUGGAAUCCCCGAUAAAGCUUUUCAUCGUUACAAAGUGAGGGAUGCCAAACACCUCAGUGUAUUGCUUGUGCAGAACAUUUGGCCGAUUCCUUCAGGAUCUAACUCCAUCACUGUAUCUUGAUUUUCUGGGAAAAGUAAAAGUUGAGAGUGCACAAGCACCAGCUAAAUGUCAAAAGCAUUGGCUUUCUUCUGUGCCUUCGGUGAAAGAUUGUAAUCAAACCAGUUGUGCAUUUUUUCUCUACUUCUGUUCCUCGAAAGCAUCAUAAAAUGGAAUCACAGCCACUGGAAAGUAAGAGCCUUAUUGAAGUAGAAGUUGUUUUCUCGGACAUCUUAGAAUGAAAUAUGCAGAAAAAUCUGAAAAAAAGAAAUGUAUCGUUGCUCAAGUAGGCUUGAAGAUGUAAGGUUAGUUAGUUCGAGCUUUUGAACACAGAGAGUAUCAGUCAGGCCUGCUUAUGGGGCACUGGACUUCAGAAACAUUCCACUGUGUAACGUGUCUCGUUUUGACUUGUGUGCCUUUCAAAGUUGACUUAUUCAUGCCAGAUCAAGUCUUGUUUGCUCCUCUCUAUGCAGUAUUUGGCUUGUGCUCGGCCUUCUCCAAUACUUCAGUGCAAUUACCGUAUUUAUUCGAAUAUAAGGCGAGGUUUUUUCCCCAGAACUUUUAGCGUUGAAGUCGCCCCCUGUCUUAUACACAAAUUUUGCAGCGCGAAUUUCGUCUUGCAGUGUGGCUUUACGGCAAUGCGUGUUGUGGUGUCGUGAAGCCACACCUAAAGGCAGAAUUCACGUGUUGAAGCUCCCUUCCCAUAUUUCAUGGUCGCCAUUUUGCAUUUUGGCUGUGUUAGUAAUUCAGUAUUUCAGGCGAUCCCCUCCGAGUCUCGAUAAUCCGUCGGCUACUCUGUAUCGCCUUGUAUGGUGUGCAUACCCAAGUUUCUUUUUUUGUUUUGUUUUUUCUUGGGUCCUCCUAAUUGCACCCUAGCCUUAUAAUCGAAUAAAUACGGUAAGUGCGUUGCGCUGGUCCAUCCUGCCAGAUUCCUUGUUUAGAUGGCAAAAUAGAGACAGAAAGCUCCUUGCUGGCUGUAAAAUUGAUAAAAUGCUAACAGUUACAUCAUCAAAUUUGUGCUGUACUAGAAUACAAACAUAAAGGUGUUAGUCCUCACAUCAGUGACUAAUGAGUGUCAUUGGUAUUGAAAUGAGGGUGGAAAUGUGUGCCACUGCCUACAAAUAUUGUUGAUGCUUCACACUUACAAUGUGGACCACUGACAUACAGUUCUCUGUGAAUUGGGCCUGGAUUCGCACUGUUUGUACGCAAAAGUAUUUCGUUGGAAUGGGCACCAGCCGCUACCCAAUAAAAACAGAAGCAAAGCCAUGGGUUAAUGAUAAACAAUUCCCGCAGAUGAAACGCUUCAUUAGUUCAGCCCCUAAUAAAAUAGAGCUAAUAAACAAUAUGUCUUCUCUAUAAAGCACUCUGUUUAAAUUCCUUCAUUUCUUUGCUGUGAUGCUUUUGCAUAACUUGUUCUCUUGAGUAAGUCACUUCAUACUUACAGGACUAACCGUAGAAUUCAUGCGAAAGACUAAUGACAGGUAACCAGAUGACCUCAAUGGAUGUAGCAUUCAUCCUGUCGGCUUUCUUGUGUUUUCGUGUGAAUGCUGCAGUUAGUUCUUUAAGUAUGUGGCACUUUUAACUUGCUCGAUUCCGUACGUGCUUCUUUCCUUCUAUCCUUCACUCAGGUACGUGUUGUGGCGAUAGUAGUGACCCAUGGUUGUGCUCUUCAGCAUGUCGUCUGUGUGAAUAUCUCGCUGUUGUCUAGCUCUUCUUAAUGGUUGUUUGGAAUCACCACCAUUAUUACACAUGCACAUACUUUUUCCCCCCCAAUUACGUCUGUUGUUACUUCAUCUUGUACAAGGUAACGGCAAUUUGCAUGUUUCUUUUAUCUCUUUUUUGUCCAAGUUGUCCUAGUGGUAACCCUUUAGUGCUCCCUUAUUCUGUAAUACGUGCUUGCAGGCCUUGUACUUCCAGUACUUUUUUCUAAAUAACAUUAAUUUUCUGCUAAUUACUCUUAUGUCUACUGUUCCUGAGUAUUGUGCCCCGAUCCUCAGUGUCCUGCUGUACUCUUCUUGUGCAAACCUAUGGUGGCUGUAUUUCUUCGAUAUAGUAUAUAUCACACAUCUAUUUUCCGUAUUCAUGUCAUGGGCAGUUGAAACUGUACGUAUGGAAAAUGUUAGUGUUGCACUUUUUGACAUAUGCAUCUACCCCCAUUGAUAAUUAUCGUAAUUCUGGCAUACACCUACCUUCCUAAGCGUUUUCUCUUCACUGCUUAGGCAUGCAUUGUGUUAUACAGUGUACACCGCUUAUAACGUAAGUCACCUGAGUCGUGAAUGUCCGACAAUAAGCGGUACUGCACUAUAACCAAAAGAAUGAUUUUAUUGCGAUAGCAAUUAUACGGACACUCCAGACGCAUUUCUGCCAUCGCCAUGAGGUUCCGUAUUAAGUUCAAGGGCAAUAAAAUUGUCGUCGCGCGCCAUAUGCUGUAUGUGCGAAUGAAAGCUUGCGAGAGUGACCUGGCGAUCGCGGUUCAAUAUCGUGCACGCAAGGCAGGAAACCGGGAAGAAAGCGCGCCAUCUUCCAUUGUGUGCAAGGCUCCGGGCAGCCCAGGCGGGCACGCACUCCUGCUGGGGUUGCUCUAUCUUAAUAGCAAUCUGCAAAGGGGACACAGUCCGCCGUGCGCUGUGUUUUCACGGCUUAGUUCGUGUUGAUGAGAGACGCAGCGUAAAGGUUGAUUCGCUCGCUGCUACUGCCACGCUUCCUCACUAUAGCGUUUUGACAGCGAGUUUCCACAGUCAUCAAGUGAGAUGUGUUCAUGUUUGCGUGUGUGCGCGUGACACCAUGCUUGUUAAUGUACAGAGAACCACAGCUGCAGUCACGCUUUUGCGCGCUCCCGCCAUUGCGUCAUUCUGCUCGCUCCGCGUGAGGAAUGCAUGGCUGGUGGAGCGGGAGAAAAAUAGGAACGGAGCUAUUCACGCACUAGCAACGUUGGAACACACCCAACGGCGCCAGACACGCCGGUUGCGUCGUGUCGUUGGAGUAUGGACGCCAGUUGUUCGCCACCGUGAUGUCACAGAGCUCGACGCGCGCAUGCGGGCGUGUUACGUUGGAGUAUAUCUGCAGCUUGAGGGGAGCGUUUGCCGUCUCUGUUGACUGCUUAACUUUCAGGCAGCUAACUGUAACCGGUAUUUCGUCUCCUGCAACUGCCCUGUAAGCGAUACCGGUAUAUAUGGAGUGCUAUGGAAAAAUUAGCAGAAGUCUGAAAAGUCCUUAUUAUAUCUGGUCCUGCACUAUAAGCGCUUACGUUAUAAGUGGUCUAAUACUGUACAUGCAUGUAGUGUCAUGCAUUACUGCAUAACACUGUGCGUGCCUAGAAGACCCCCCUUCCCAAGUGUCGGCAAGGAACUCAACUUUUGUUGCACGUCAGCACAAGGAAGCACACUCUCAGAUGAUGGCAAUGAGUGCUGUGGUCUAAGCAUUAAGAGGUCAGUGUGUUACAAUUGGGGAAAACGUUACAGCUUUCAGCGUGGGCUUACGAUAGCAGACUACUUGCCUGUGCUUUACACUUCCAGCUUUGCCCCUCCUAUGCUCGUCUGUGUGAUGAUUGGUUGGUUGCUGUAUGUUGCGCAAAGUGCACUUUGCACUCCUGCAGAGCAUCCCUGUGAGUGGACAGCAGCAUUAAAAGGCACUGCCUUAGUUCGCUAUAGUUGCAAUGGCAGAAUGAUCGAUGGGUGCUCUGACUGCUCUACUCUCGAUGCCUCUGCACCUGUUUGACCACAGAAAUGUGCCAUUGGAAAUUUCACAUGUUUUGGGGUGCAUUUUUGUUGCACAACAGUAAUGGUAAUCAUUAGCACUCCUGUGGGCAUUCCCAUGCAUUUUUAAUGGCAAGCUACCGAUGCUUUCCUGUCAGGUAUUGCGUUCUGCAUUAGAUGCUCUGCACAUGUAAGCAUCGCUGACAAGUGCUGGGCUCAUAUGACAUUAAAAGAACCGUCAUGCCCACAGGAACUAUAUUUUAUUGUUGUUGUGUGCCAGAAGUAUAUACCAAAACUGGUAGAAGAUGUUGGCAUCUCGUAUUAAGGCCAAGCAAACAGGUCUAAUGAGUGUUACUGCAUAUUCUUUCGUGAAAAUUUUUAACCCCAAGGUCUGCUGUAAUGCCCUAAACAUGUAGCAUUUUUUAAUUGCACAAACAAUGUCUGCAUACUUUAGAGCAACAAUUACCCUUUUAGGGUGCACUCCCUCCAAAUGUCAUGCAGCCCAGGUUGCCUUUUCAUUAUAAUAUUGAAAUGCAAGCCCUUUUGAUAGCAAACCAUGAAACACUGUGCUAAUAUAGAGUACGCACACAAAAAUGACAAUAUUGUCACGCAGCAAAAGUGCUUUCAACCAUUCCUGAAAGAGCUCACUCACUAUAAGCAUCGCCAUUUGAAUUUGUGGCAGUCAGCCCCAUGUUCUUCAACAGGAUUUUGCCAAGAGAACUAAUUCUGUAUAUUAUGCUUCAGAGUAUGCAAAACAAAGCAGGCUAUUGGGCUACUGCUGUAAUUAAAUAAUGUGCAGUGAACCACAAUGUUUUACAGACCAUGGGACCUGAGAAAAUGUAGAAUUUCUGAGAAGUGACUAUAAAAACCAUACAGUGCUAUCUGUUUCAUGGUUAGCACGCAACGUUGGGGAAGCUACCAAAUUAGUACAGUCUUGCUCCACAUGUUUGCAGUUCAUUUGUUUUUGAUCUGCAAUGCUUUCUACGAAACAACUACUUCAUACAUUAACGCAAUAGCAUUAAGAGCCCCCUGUCGCAGAAAAUCCGACGGCGGCGGCAUUGUCCAUUAGAGAAAAAUCAUCCCCUAUAUAUUUAGGUAUACGUAUAUGCCACCCCUUGCUAUAUGGCAUGCGGUAUAUGCGGGUUAGAUUGCCACACCAUUCUAUCACUAAAGUUGCUCAUACCUUGCCUUACAUUCUUGAAAAAGUUGUUCCUCGGAAUUUUGAGAAUGACAGCCCGCAAACAAAUGUUACGAAACAAAACACCGAAAGCGCAUGCCUUUUAUGUUAAAUCUUCUCAGACCUAGCUUUAAAAGUGCGAAACAAUAACAGAAACCUGAAAAUGAUGUAAUUUUCUUGGCACGGCUGUGCGCUACCUCCAGGAUCGACCCACACAAGAGGCUGCAUUUCUACCAGAAAGCCCACCUUCGUGCAUAGCGGUCGCCACCAGCAUUUUCUGGUAAACAUUACGGUUACAUAAGCUGCAGUUGCCGGGAACCAUGAGAAGCAGUCAGAUAUCUUUGAAUGCUAUCGCGUUCCACUCUUAAAGGCGAAGCUUAAGCGUUCUCCAAGUUUUGCAAGUGCAACUUGUGAGCGUAACAUUUACUAAUAUUAUGUUUAUUCGUGAGUUAUUUGUGCACAUUUGUGCUUUGAGUAUGCGACUUUGUUUUGGUCGCGAGGGCUUGCUGCGCUGUGGCUGCUCAUCACAGAAACAUGUCAUUCCAAUCAUUUGGGGGGUAAAUAUAUUCAGGUUUGCAACGUAAAUGUUCAUGUGAUAAUUACAUCAUACUUUAUACACCAAGAGUAUCAGACUUAACGUUACAUCGAAUUUCACGAUGCAUGCCUGUGUUACUUUCAUAUGUGACACAGUACUUUUUGUUUGUAAAUGUGUGAGACAAGACCCUUUAAGAGACGGAGUAUAUAUACACUGUUCACAUGCUGUACUAGUACAGGCUAGAAAUCUCAAUACCAAGGCCACAUUCCUACGCUGUGGACAUAUUCAGUUCUUUCCCAGAUCCUGUGGUCCGUAAAAUGUUGCAGUUGAGUGUACAUUGUACAAAAACCAGGAACACUUGCAACCUCCGUCACAUUGGCAUACCUGAGAGCCAAAAUGUUCUGUAUUGAUCGAUAACAGGGGGCAGCCCCUCAGUACACACUGCUUCCCAGCAGUGGUAAAACAGCAGUGUCUGUAGAGUCAGCCUCUUGUGCAGAAAUCCAAAUCUUGUGAGGUCAUUGGUCUUCCUUACUGCUGUACACAUUCGCUGUUAGAAUGCGCUUGCUGCUUCCAUUAGAAAAGAUUAGUGCAAGCACAGAGAGCGAGAAAGAGAGAGAUGCAUAUUUACAUGCCAGAAUGUGUUCACAAUAUAUUAGGUAGGCGGUGGCCAAAGGUGGUUCGUGUUACUCAUCGCUCAUUCGUAUGUCUCGGUGUUCACUGUGGUGGCUAACAGCAUUCCAAGACAGUGUCAAAGAGAGGUAGUCGAGGAGAUUGUGCCCAUUUAUUGGCGACCGGUUGUGGGGUUUGUGGCAAUAACUGCCGAGCACUUCUGUCGGUGUAGAAAACUGACCACAAGGCACAGCAUUCCUCGCCAUAGUGUGGACUGCACACAGUAAUGGAUGCCAGUCGCAAGUGUUUUGCUGAGACUGCAUGUCUUGGGGGUUCCGCCUGUCACAUGCUUCCUGGUCUGUUGGUGUCAGGUGUGUCAGUGGGCAGAUGCUCUUGCUACGAAUUGCAUUUUAAUUUUAGUCUUGAAAAUUUCGAGUACUAGUAACUAUGUGAACAGCCUAAUACAUCUACUAUGCCCUUGUGUGCACAUGCCCUAUGUGAGCAGGUCAAACCAGAAUUCAAGCUCGGACAGCUUAACUCAAACUCAACGUCUACACAAACUAGAUCAUGGUGGGCUAAAAUAGCAACUGCAGUCUGUGGUGAUGUAGGAUAACAAAGCGCACAAACAGCAAAUUUAGUUUCAUGCAAGUUCCUUGAUGCUUGUGCUGAAAGUGAUGAGCAAUCGUUUCUUGUAGCCAAGACUGGAAAUGUUCAUGAUUGAUUGCUAGGUGGUGCAUGACACCAAAUUUUGCACAACCAUUGACUACCUUUUGCUGUAAGCAGGUUGUGCGACUUUUCCUCCAGUACUUGUAACAGAAGGGUCAUCUAUGAUAUAUUGAUACUACAGAAUUGUCUCAUUAUUUUGUCGAGAAAGUAAUUCCAGCCAAGAAAUUUAAGACCAUGUUCGAUGUGAGCAGUGUCGGGGGAUGAGUAAACCAUUUUUCCCCUUGAACAAACAAGCACUGACAAUAAACUUAAAAUGUUGGCCACUACAUCCCAGGUCUAUGAGCUUUCUUGGGUUCUGAUACGUAUUGACACAUUUCUUGGAACUUAAAUCAAAUAAAUUCCCACCAUAUCUAGAUAAUGCUUCUAGAAGAUAAGCCAUCCUAGGGCCGUAUUCUGAAACGUUCCACUUCGGACGAAAUUUCUUUUUCGCUUUCAGGCGCGUGAUGAUUGGCUGUUUUAGCAAAAUUGGAUGAGCUGAUUAGAUGGUUGAGCCCAACGUCAUUCGAGUUUGCUCAACCAGCCAAUUAGCGCGCGCCUGGAAGCGAAAAAAGAAAUUUCGCCGAAGUGGAACGUUUCAGAAUACGGCCCCCUGUGUCUGAUUAUCGUCCUCGACCAAAAUGCAUCUUGGAGCGUGAGAAUCUGUGCUCCAUCUACUCUCUUGGCCUUAAUGAAUAUUGGCAAAAGUGAUGAGAUGAUCUUCGAUUGGUACCCUACAACUUUUAUGGCACACUGGUGCACUUCUAGUGGCACAGGGACUGCUAGAAAAAUUCUGAGCCUCCAGCAUAGUCUUGCAUCAUUAUCAUACAUUUGUUCACAUAGUGUGAGAAAUUAUGGGAAAUAAAGCUGACUGAUUAAUUGCAAUGUAACCUUCAUACACUACUGUUUCAUGCUGCUUCUUGCACAAGAGCAGUCUUUAUGGAUUUGAAUUGAACUUAUUUGCAAAAAUCUUACGGGAGAUUAGGCAAAAGGCUCAUCAAACAAGUUUUUGAUAUGAUAGGCCAGUACAGGAUUGUAGCCAAUCACAUGGCCAGAGAGAGCAUAGCCUAGUCACACGCAGGCCACAUAUUGCUCCCACAGCCUCACAAAUCUUGGCCCUGGAGUUUGAUUCAGUAUGUCAUACUAACACGUUGAAGCAUGAGCAUCUGCCUUCUGCACCGACAUUGUUUUGGCUGAGCGUUAUGCUUGAUCCUGUGUCUGGCUUUCACUGGUAGCGCAGCCGAUGCCUUGCACAGGGAUGAUAGGAAAGCUUCCAGAUAGGGCUUUUGACAGUUUACACAUGUACCUGAACAAGAGAAAUCAUGAUUAGUCGUCAGUCAUGAUUGUCCGUCAAUGCAUGUAGUUCUUGCCACACACCAGCUUACACUAAUAGUACAGUAUAUACUAUGUGCGACACCUGUACCGUAUGGCUUGUGCCAAAGGUGUUUUCAGCAUUGAGACAGUCGUGCUGUGCUGUCUUCCUGUUUCUUUUCUUUUUUUUUUCAGGUGCUCGCAUAUCCAUCUUUGUUUGCUUACGUGCAUGUUCCAAGAGUUGUCAGUGUGCUCGCUCGGUGUGUGUGCGACUCUGUAGGAGCAUGCCAUCAAAGGAAGGCACGAGUCAAGAAAUAAAGGGUCACUGUGAAAAAGAA
RNA transcript from Dermacentor silvarum, 15681 nucleotides. RefSeq lists it as uncharacterized. The record is from RefSeq and is a predicted model, not a curated record. NCBI's taxonomy places the organism in Eukaryota, Metazoa, Arthropoda, Arachnida, Ixodida, Ixodidae. The transcript has 3 exons.